GUCCUGAAGAAAACAAAUAUCCCUAGGUCCCAAGAACAACACAUUUCCAGGUGUUUAACACUUUUAUUAAGAAAGCCGAAAACAAAAAUGCAGAUGCCUGGAAAGACAAAACUGCCUUUGUGUAUUAGCAGAGGCAGAGCUGUUGCUGUAACAGCUGGAGCUUAGAGGAUCACCUAGGUCCAAGUCUUCGCAGGUAGCAGGUCUCCUGAGAUUCAGGCGGUUUUUGUACAUUAGCCCAAAAGCCCUUUGAAGUCAUGGCCAGCAGCUUAGGCACCCUGGCCUGUCAGAAGCAGGAUCAUGAUCAGGGCAGUCUCCACCAUAACAGAUCUCAGGUUCCAGUUCUUUCUCCAACAUGCUGAGCAGGCCCCGCCAGGGUUCAUUUCUCUGUCUUUCUCCUGGUCCACCUCUCCUGGGGACAUCUGGAGCUCCUUCUGUUUCUCACGUUGGAAAACCUCUGCACCCCACUUCCUGGCAUAGUUCAUUCUAGGAUGAUGUCUCAAGCAAUCCCAGCUACUAAGUCCACAGGGAAGGGGAAACAGUUCCCAAUCAACAGAACAGCCAUUCUCAAAGCAGUGGCUUGGCUCUGCCCAGAAACACGGUGGCCAAGAUUUGGGAAUACCAUGGACUCAGGGUUGACAGGAAGUGUGGACUUCCUGGUGUGUGCUGUGAAGAAUCUGACAUGUCUUCCACAAAAACAGGGGCAGACCAGUUCUGUUGUCUUGGCUUCACCAAUGUAACACAGACAGCAACUCCUGGAACCUCUGAUUGAGAAGUCAAUUAACUUUUUAUCCUCUAACUUCUAGGCCCCUCCCAACCGGUACUCUUCAGGAUGCUAGAAUGUAACUUCAUAACCCCAUCAGUUGUUUGCAUUAAAUAGGAGGUAAACUCUGAAGAUCCUGGUGCUGUAUGCCUUUAAUCCCACUGGGGAAUUAGCCAGGGGGCAGAUGGAUCUCUGAGUUCCAGACCAGCCUGAUCUACAGAGCUAGUUCCAGGACAGCAACAGAGAAAGACAGGGAAAUCCUAUCUUAAAAAACAAUCAAAAUAUGAAAACAAAACAAAAUAUAGUAAAGAUUGUGAUGGUAAAAUCUUAUCAUCCCUGAUAAGAUUAUCUAGAGUUAAACAUUAUACAGGACUAAUGGAGAAAGCACUAAAGUAUGGGGAGGUCUACUUGGGAUGCCUGAUUUAGAGAAUGUGUGUUUUAUCUUGGAAGUCAUUUUUCAUUUGUUCUUUCAAGUCAAUGUGCUCUAGAGGAAUAGAAUUUAUAAAGUCAUCUUACUUACAGGCUGUGAUCCAGCUUAUUUAACAAUGGCUGACUAUGAUCUGAAAGUCCGAGAAGCCAGAAGUUGCUCAGUCUAUUAAAAUGGAUAUCUCAGCAGGUCUUCAGUAAUCCCUGGAAUCCUUAGGAAGUAAGCUCUGAUGCUAGUGAAGUAAUAUACUUGCUAGCAAGGUGAGAGUUCUCAGGCUAAGUGAAAAAACUUCCUUCUUCAUGUUCUUUUAUACACUUCCAGCAGAAUGUGUUGCCCAGGUUUAAAUGUAUGUCUUCCUGCUGGAGAUCUGCAUUACAGGCAUGUCUGGAUUAAAAGUUGUGUUGUCCCAGCUCAAAAGAUCUGCUUUGAUGUUGUCUUCAUACCUCAAACAUCUGGAUUGUAAACGGAUCUUCCUACUGUAGGCAAAACUACCUCUCAGGUAUGUCCUUCAAUUCCAUACAUAUCUCUCAACUUGCCAACCAAGAAUAGCCAUCACAGACACAGGCUGUUCAUGAACUCACUUUGUAGACCAUCCUGGCCUCAAACUCACAAAAAUAAACCUUCUCUACCUCCUGAUCGAUGAGAUUAAAUGCACGAGACACCAUCUCUUUGAAAUAUCCCAUUGUCUCUGGGCAAUGGUGGUGCACACCUUUUUAACCCCAGUACUCAGGAGGCAAAUGCAGGUGGAUCACUGUGAGUUGGAGGCCAGCCUUGAACUAGUUCCAGAACACCUAGGGCUGUUAUACAUUGAAAGCCUGUCUUGGGGAAAAGAAAAGAAAUAUCCCAUUCUACUGGCAAUUUUUACCUGUGGAUUAUUAUGAAGAUGAUUUCCUCCUAAACCGUACUGUUUACUGAAGCAGUGAUUUUAUAUAAUAGUAGUGUUAGUUUAGAAAGAAUUUUGAUGGUUGAGGGUUUUUAAUAAAUAUAGUAAGAAAUUAUGAUGGAUAUUAGUUAAGUGGAAAAAUUAAUAUACGUAAAGGUAGAAUAAAAUGUUGCUGCUGCCUCUGAUAAAACAGGGAAGCAUCACAGGGCUAGAACACAAGAGUUUGAGGAUCUGUAUAGACUGUGGCUUAUAUUAAUGAUUAACAAAAACAAUCAAGUCCCAAUAGUCCAGAUUAUUUACAUUCUUUUAAUCUUGAUGUUAGGAGACCUGUUCACAGAUUUUGGAAUGCAUCAUAGCUGAAACAAAGCUUUGAAAAUGACUUGAGGUUAGACUAAGAUGUUUUUGUCAAAGAGCUUUGAAAUGAAAAAGUCUUACAAAACAAUUCAAGUUCACAAGGACACUUAGCUGCUCAUGGGCUCAUUAAGGUCAGGGAUCAAAAACAAGGCAGCCCAAUUAUUACUACCUUAUGUACCUUUAUUGCUCAGAUUUGUUGGAGAUCAAAGUCAAUGAUUAAUUCUGUGUGCCUAUGUCUACUCUCAGCUCCCUGGUAUGAAAAACUGUUGAUGACUGGAUAUACUCUGUGAGGAUUUAUACAUUUUCUGUUUGUGAGUCUUUCAAGAUCCCUUAUAGAUUACCUUUCAAAAGUAAUAAACUGAUCGGUCCUUUCUUUGUAAGUGCAAUAUGCAGCCAGCCAGUAAAAGAAGUGUCUGAGAGAAGUACCCUGCUUGUUUGCACUCUGUUCAUCUAUAAAAAGGUUGCUUGGACAUGAAUAUAUGUGGGUUCUUGGGACAACUUGUUUUUCACCUGUAAUACAUAAAAUAUUCAGUCAUGUAAGGGAAAUUAAAAACGUGCUAUUUUCCUGUAUUCAUUAUACUCAUUCUUUUGAAAAAAAAGAAUGUAACCACAUGGUAAUUUUUUAUAUAGCCUGAGGAUUUUGUGGAACACAUGAGCUGUAGAGGAAAAAAUAAAGAGCAGAAUAUAGAAGAAAAAUAAAGAAAAAGAAGAAAAGCAUCAAGAGUGUGUGAGUCUUUUCACUUACCCUCUCAGAUAAAAAAAAAAAAAAAGUCUUCCCUUCCAGCCCUGCUCUGCUGGAGGCUGAGUCUCAGGGCAGCAGUACCCUGGCUGUCUUAAAAAUCUCUCUGUAGACCAAGCUGGCCUCAAACUCAGAGAUCUGCCUCAGGCUUCUGAGUGCAGAGAUCAAGGUGUGCCCCACCAUGCCCAGCCCAGUUUACACACUAGGUUUUAAGUAGAAACAAGCUACUGGUCCUUCUCAAGAGAUGAAGGCAUGCCAUAGUAGGUUCCAGCAAGUCCAAUUCCACUGUCAGAAAGCCGCUGACUAUCCAGUUCUCCAUCGCAGAAAAUGUUUGCACCAGGUUUCAGUUGCAACAUGGCUGUUUCCUUGUGCUUCUGGUUGUCUGAAAUUACACAGUGCAGGGAAUCAAAGCGAUGUUGGCUGUAUCCUUCGAGAUUCCAGCCGCUGAGAGCAACAGAGUUCCUGUCACACAGCUACUGUCUCCUUGGGGACAUCAACCUCCUGUAGCAUACCAGAUGACAUCCACUGGACAUUGUCUCACAUCUUACACAGCUUGCAAGACCCAGCAUUCAGUUGCAGCAGGACCUUUAAGCUGUACACCCAGUGUCUUCUAAGAAGCCCUUCCUGGGCAGAGCACAAGCCAGGCCCCUUCUAGAGCAGUAGCAGAGCACACACACAACUCCCUUUGUUCCUCAAGAACCCUGGUUUCCCUACUUGCAUCCUAGGUCCUCUGUUAGCUGUCCCUGGUGAGAUGCCAUAGGAAGAGCCAGAGUGCAAGGAACAGUCCGAACCAGAAGCCAGAAGGGUUCCGGUUCUGAGUAGCUCUGCCUCCCAGCUGUGGCUGGAGACCUUGUGAUCAUAGUGGACACAGCAGCGAAUCUGGAUCAUUAGUCCUUUCGAAGUUACCCAGAGCUUUGAGGCCAACCCAUCUCAUUCCACCAGUUGCCUUGAUUUGCCAUUGGAGCUAAGUUCCCAUGGGCUGACCUCUACCUCCAUUAGAAACCCGCAGUGAUGUGAAAGCCUGCACGUGAUUUGGUUCCUUCGUGCUUUUCUUCUGCUGCCGGCCAGGCUCUGGCUCAAGUGGGCAUGCUGCAAAAGGACGUAGUGCAAACCCUCAGUGGGGCUACUGUAGCGGUUUCCAUCUGUUUUUGCACGCUCUCAGCUCUCCGAAUCUUCCCAGCACCGAAAUUUCGUUUGAUUGCUUUAGUUUCCGGCUGUCCUGCCUCAUGUCUGGAAACCAGAAUACGGGUUUACUUUACGCUUUGCCUAUACUGGUGCAGGAAUCCCGGCUCUGGCACUACAGAGGUAGAAGGAACUGAUUUGGGGGCUCUGGUGGUAGUUGAGAUAACUUUAUGCGGACUAGAUGGGGCUUGCUACGUCCAAGAAUCAGUCAUUCAUCAUAGCAGACAUUCAUCAUUUUUCUUGCUUUCUCUUUUGCUCAGGUAGAACCCCACCCUCAAGCCAACACCCAAUCCCACCCCAUUCAUAGUCUUCACAAGUCCAAGACAACCUCAGUAUUUGGCUAUGGAACAUUCUGGAGUUGACUAGAACAGCCUAGAGCACCUAGCAGCAGGACACCACUACUGUCCUCAGCUAGACCCUCGGUUUCUCCAGGUUUUAACCAGGACCUUUGGCCCACAGUUUCUUUCCUGGUGCCAGCAGCUGUAUUUUCCUUUGAGACUGAGGCUUUCUGAAUCUCAGCCUGAGAAGGAUGCCACCCAUUCCACUUCUCUCAGACAGAUAAACCUGCCCACUUUCUUGGGCACCUCAGAGUGAGGCUGAGCUGGACUCUGGUAUUUCCCUCUAGUUUGGUGUUGGCACAAACACUCAGUCAAACUCAGCUGCUAAAGACGCGCCUACACAUUCAAGUUCGUGCCCUGUACAGAUCACCAAACGAGUGCCUAGGUCGGCUUCACGUCUAAACACCUGGCUUGCAACUGGUCCUUUUACUGAACGACACACAAGGACCUCCUCCGUGUGGAAUACAACUCCAGGAGACAACCACGACAAUGUACCCUGACGAUCUCUUAGGCCCAAACUCAAGGUUUGAACCAGCCUUGAAGUCGUCUGCAGGUGUGCAAUUACUAAACCCUCCCUCCUUUCCCUACUGGUCGGUGGGCAGAGCAGGAGCCAAUGAGGAAGUCCAUUGGUUAAGUCAAAACACCUUGGUCUCAGGUGCCCUUCUCGGCUUGGGAGCUGUAAGAUGGAGGCUUCUUCAUCACAGGGAUGGCCAGCAUUCAUCCCAUUUUAGCCGUCCUAUGCUGCAGUUUUCCGGAUCUGUAAUCCGUGAUCCCCAAGUUCCGUGAGUCGUCCGUGGAGCCGACUUCUGAUCUGCUGUCAGUAGGCGGUGGGCUGCAAUCCGUCCGCAAUUUCCAUCCGUUUCCGUGAUUUUCUGCUUCGGUCCUUUCGUUUUGCGGCCAUAAUAGGCUCUGCCAGGACGAUGUGAGCAAAUGCUGCAAGAAAAGGCUGACCCCUCGGUGCCAGUGUGCACAAGACCGGUCCGGAAUGCGCGGUUUCAGUUUGUUUCGCGUCCGCUAUGCUCAGCUCGCCCUCGUUUCUAAACGCUGAAAGUUCUUUCGAUUUCUUUCGUUUGUGGAGAUCGCUCUGACUGCGGUCGCACGUUUUCAGUCAGGCAAGUGUAUGUAGCUAUGGCCUCCCGUGCAUUUGCCAAUGCCUGCCUGACAGCAGCUCACUGGCCCCUCCGGGGAUAGUACAGCCCCGCAUUCCUGGGAAAGUUUAUGGUUAAUCGGCCUAUCUGCUUGUUCAAGCUCGUGGAUGAGCACAGAAGGAGACGGGGCCAAAGAAGAGGUCCUAGCUAGAAGCCUAAAUCCUUCUAGAAGCAGAUCUACAGCAGAGCUGCAGGCCGGCCUCUUCUUCGGGCCUCUUCUUCACUUCAGGGGACGCUGCCCAGCCCUUCACCUCCAAGCGAUUUGUAGCCGGCACUUUUGGUUUUCCCCGCCCGCUUUCGGCAAACCUCCGCAAUUCGUUCUCCUAGCGAGCCAAGAUAUGUUCAUAUCUCAGCAGCCCUGGACUGAAAUUCAACGGUGAUUUCAAACCGCAAACAGGAUUUUGUUCCAUGGUGGUUUUAUUUACCCCCUGAAUCAGGCUCUGCCAGGCAUAUUCGAAAACUCCUCCGAUUUCUUUCAUUUACCGAUUUUGUUCAGAGUUCCGUCCGGCAAACGAACUUUUUAAGCCAAACAAGUUAACCAAUUCAUCAGACCCGGCCCCUCCACCACCAGGAAGACUACAAAUAAAAGACUGAUGGAUACCACUAGAAGGGCAAUACUAAUACAGCUUUUCCCGGAUUGUUAACAGAGAGCCCAAAUGGUUUGCUUCUGCAAGAUGAUCUGAAAAAGUCAGUCCCUAUCAUCAAGAGAGAAACUGAUCCUCAAGAGAGAGAGAUGUUUGUUCCUGCUCCAAGACACAAAUAAGAAGUUGGCCCUUUUGACAUGAAGAAUUUGAAGACAACUGUCCUAAUGGGAUUUAAUCCUUUCUUUUUAUUGUUUCCUUUGGAUUUUUGAGGCAGAGUCUCUAUAUAGCCCUGUCUGUCUCACUCUCACUACUUAGCCAAGGCUUGUCUAGAACUCUGAGAGAUCCACAUGGUUAAAGGGUGAGCCACCACACCUGGCUUUAUUUAUGCAUUUAGUAUAUUUGUAUGGGAAAGCAAGUGCCAUAGCCAGAGUGUAGAAGUCAGAGGGUGAUUUCCAAACCUAGGUCUUCAGAAUUGGCUGCAGGUACCUUUACUGAAUAAAACUCCUUGCUAUCUCUGCUUUCACAAAUGCACUAAUUCAGAGUUAUUGCUGAAAAAAAAUCCCCAAAGUCAAAAUCAUAGUUAUAAAACUAGAAUAGUGGCCUUUGUCUAAAUUAGUGGCAUUUUUAUUGAUAUGCAUUCAUUAACUUGUUUUAUUCAACUUAAAAAACAUGCUUAAGCCCACAAUAAUCUUUGAAUUCUGUCUUCUUCUAUUAUACCAUUAAAAUGCAGGCUGUUAUGUUUGUUUGUUUGUUUGUUUGUUUGUUUGUUUGUUUAGAAUAGGGUCUCAUUAAGUAGAGCAGUGGCUGGCCAGAUACCCGCAGAUCUGUAUAAAUAUUGCUUUUUGUACCAACUGCCCACUCUUUGUUCCAGUAGCUGCUCCCCAAUUUCCUCUCAGAGGCUUAAAUUAAUUAUAAAUGCUUGCCUAUAUAGCUGGGUCCUAACAGUUCCCUCAGGGGACAGGGUGAGAAGGUGUGGUGUCAAUGAACACCAGAGUCAGAUGAAAAGAAACAGCAGACUCAUUAUUUAGCAUGGGGGGGAUGGAUUUUAUAUUCCCUCCCAGCACCCCAGCAUUCCUAUCUGCUGGCAUUGCAUGGUUGACCCUCAUUGGCUAGGCAUAAUCAGGACCUCUGACGGUGACUGUUGCUAGACCCUCAGACAGCACCAGGUAGACUCCAAGUUGGCUCAUCUCUCUCUGCCUUGGCCUUGUAGGCCUUAAUGUCCUACAGGCCAAUAGCUCAGGCUUAUUACUAACUAGCUCUUACAUUUUAAGUUAACCCAUAUUCCUUAUUUACAUGGAAUUACCUUUAUUAGCAUGGCAUGUUCAACUCCUGAUCCCUCUGCAUCUGGCUGGUGACUCAUGACUUCCCCCAUUUUCCUUCCUAUCAUCCUUAGUUUGGCUGCCUGGCUAUUGGACAAUCAGUGUUCUAUUAAACCAAUUUGGGUGCCAAAUCUUUACAGUGUACAAGAGGAUUAUUCCACAGCAAAUAUGCAUACCUCUGCCUCCCAAGUGCUGAAAUUAAAGGCUUGGGGGCUGGAGAGAUGGCUCAGAGGUUAGGAGCAUUGGCUGCUGACUGCUCUUCCAGAGGUCCUGAGUUCAAUUCCCAGCAACCAUGAAAAUUAAAAAAAAAGUAAAGCCUUAUGCCACCAAGCCUGUCUAAAGACUCCUUGUCCUGUCUUAUUUAUUUUAAAAACUUUUCAUACAUGCAAAUAACAUGUUUUAAUUAGAUCCACCCCAUGCCCCAGCUGCCCACUUCUCUCUAUCAACCCCAAUACAUCCACCAUUUUUCUCUCUGAGCUUUUUCUUGAAAUGCCGGCUUGCUAUGCUGCAUGGGCUGCUGGAGAUCUCUCCACCCACCUCCACCCUUCUCCAAAGUAAUUGGAAUUAAAGGGAUGUGAUGCCAAGUGCAGUCAAAGCAUGCUUUUAGCAUGUCACACACUCAAUGCACUAUAAUAAUUCCACAGGGUCUGAUCUUGUUGUGUUCCAUAUUAUCGGCAUAAUCAAAGAAACAGAGUCACCCUAAGAGGUACUUCAGACUCUGCAGUAGCAGGAAGGGACGGUUUUGAGGAACUGAACUUUCAACAGCCUUUCAGAAGCCUAUUUGUUGAUUGCUACACAAAGGUUGGUUUCUUUGGGUAAAACAAGUUCCUCAUAACAAUGCCCCUAAUCUAAACUAUAUGUUUUCUGAAGGAAAAUACCUUUCCCCCUACAAAGUUAGCCGGUAUUGUGUACUAUUUGCAGAACCCAAUCAUGCAAGCUGUUCCUGGUAUGGUAGGAUUGUCUUGUGACUAAAGUCAUGCAAAGGCUGCAAAACUUCAGAAAAACAACUCUAUAAAUCACAGAAAACAAUCACUGUUUUCCCACAAUGAUUCCAACAUCUAAGAGUUUAAGGAAAACAAUACUUCAUUCUAUGCUUACCCUACAUACAGUAAAAGAAAAAAAGAACUAUUUCAUUUAAUAUUUACCCUACAUGAAAUGAUUCUACUAGAUUUCUACUACAUGAUCGAUUUAUGAAACUUGAUUCUUCUUUCCAAAGUCUUGCUAUGGUAAACUAUAAUGAUGCCAACAUUCUUUAAUAUUUCACAGUGCUCACCUGCAGGAGUUAUUGUUGAACACAUAUAUUAAAUGUAAUAACUAGUGGUUGAGACUGUAAAUUGAACUGUCUGUCAUAAUAUAAUUCCCCAAAGUAGACACCAUCAUCUUGAAAUCAUGACAUAUUUGCAUUAAUCAGAACAGUAGUGAUUUUUCUGGUAUGACUAUAUUUUCAAAUGUAUUCAACAAGCUGCUCUAGGUCAUUAUGCCAUGGUCUACAUCUGUUGAUGCCAACUGCCAUAUUGUCGGAUUAUUUGAUAGCCUUUAAAAAAAUCAGUUACAUCUAUUUCAAAAUUCUAUGUAAAUUUAUGAACACAAUUAAAUGGUUCGCUCGGAACCUUCGUUCUUUCCUAUAGAAUAUGGGUUAUUCACUCUAUAAUCCUCUAGGCAAGUACGUGUCUUACGCCCCUCCCACUCCCCCCAAA
Molecule: long non-coding RNA, 9431 nt
Filed under: Cricetulus griseus (Chinese hamster)
Lineage: Eukaryota; Metazoa; Chordata; Mammalia; Rodentia; Cricetidae
Description: lncRNA (ENSCGRG00015043081.1)
Source: RNAcentral